ACGGGUGAGUAAUACAUCGGAACGUAUCCUGGAGUGGGGGAUAGCCCGGCGAAAGCCGGAUUAAUACCGCAUACGCUCUGAGGAGGAAAGCGGGGGACCUUCGGGCCUCGCGCUCAAGGGGCGGCCGAUGGCGGAUUAGGUAGUUGGUGGGGUAAAGGCCUACCAAGCCGACGAUCCGUAGCUGGUCUGAGAGGACGACCAGCUACACUGGGACUGAGACACGGCCCAGACUCCUACGGGAGGCAGCAGUGGGGAAUUUUGGACAAUGGGGGCAACCCUGAUCCAGCAAUGCCGCGUGUGUGAAGAAGGCCUUCGGGUUGUAAAGCACUUUUGUCCGGAAAGAAAUCAUCGGGGCCAAUACCCCUGGUGGAUGACGGUACCGGAAGAAUAAGCACCGGCUAACUACGUGCCAGCAGCCGCGGUAAUACGUAGGGUGCGAGCGUUAAUCGGAAUUACUGGGCGUAAAGCGUGCGCAGGCGGUGCUGUAAGACCGAUGUGAAAUCCCCGGGCUUAACCUGGGAACUGCAUUGGUGACUGCAGCGCUGGAGUAUGGCAGAGGGGGGGUGGAAUUCCACGU
This 577-nucleotide ribosomal RNA is filed under the name uncultured bacterium. RNAcentral's name for it is "bacterial SSU rRNA". It matches the Rfam family "Bacterial small subunit ribosomal RNA", at positions 102 to 674 of the family's 1533-position model. The record is from RNAcentral.